UCAUACAAUAUAUCAUAUGCAUCUCAUUCUCAGCUAAGCUAGUGACAGUACAUGCAUCAAUCGUCAUAUCAUUCAAUGGGAAAUGGAGCACGAGUGCAGUCUCCGUGUACUAGCUACUAGCCACUGCCCGCUGCUAGCUCCGUUCCUCGAGUAUGUGAUAGCCAUUGAGGCAAAAAAAUAAUUGAAAGAUCCAUGGAGGCAAUAUUUCAGAGGUGAUGAAGCUAGCGUAACUGGGAUAUGAUAUGAUGUGCCUGGCUCCCUGUAUGCCACUCAUCCAGAGCAACACCUUUGCGAUGAGGUUGCCUGCGAUGGAUGGCGUGCACGGAUCCAAGCAUAUCGAAAUCAAACCCUCUCCCUCUCCCCCUCCUCUCGUAGUUAGUUUCAUUGUUGUUUGUCUUCUCUAUUAAGCAAUUAGUUUUCUCUCCAUGGCGCUUGAUGGUGUUCAUACGUAACGCCAUAUAUAGUUUCCCCCCUUGAUCUACUUCCGAUAUAUAAAGUAUCAGCUGGAAAAGAAAUCAAUCGAUCAUAUUUAAUUGGUUUUCUUCAAUGUGUCAGCUAUACAUGUUAUUUCAUAUCAAUGUACUUAUACGUUAAUACGGUUAAUUACUACUUGUUCAACAACCAUAUAUGUGCAUGGUAGUAAUGAAAAUGAUGAUUUCAUGUGUAUGUUUCGACCAAUGCAAGUCGUGUAUAUGAGCAAGCAAGUAAAGUAGUGUUUCCCCAGCUUCCUCAAAUCUCCUGGAUCAUAAUGACAUCUUACAUAUAUAGUACACCUUUGUUCCUAAAUGUAAGACAUUUUUGCAGUUCAACUACUUAGCAUCAAGUUAUAUUUCAGGGUUAAAUUUGCCCCGGUUAUGACUAACUCUUCCUUUAAUUUGAUAGCCGGCAAAUAUCGGAGAAUCUACUAAUCAUUUCAGGUCUUCUAGAAGCAGUGUCUCCCAGAAGUUGAGCCCAACCUAGUUUGAAGGGCUAUAAGAUGAACAAUUCUAGAUGUUCCACAUAUGUAUAGAUUUUUCCGCUUUGAGACAAACAAAAAAUGUAUAGAUUUCAUGUCAUUCACACUUCUAGCCACUUGAUUUCUGAUUUAUUUUUCAUUGUACACCACAGCUUCUGCCCUAGUUGCAGAAAGACGCAUUAGAGCCUUUGCACAUUCCAAAGGAAAUGAGAAUGACAAUUUGAUCACUAACUUAACUGUAAUUGGGCAUGGAUCACAUUAUUUUCUUAAGUACUACUGCUUCUGUUUUCCUUUAAUUCCAUACACUAUUUGAUCUUUAUGGCGCUUCCUCCAUCAAAUUGAGAACUUUAUCCAUAGAGUAGCAGCGUAGGCCAUACUUUCUUCUUUUUUUGGUGGCGCAGGUUCCAAGACACACAUUGACCACUUUUUUUUCUGUAGCUCAUGUUAGUAAAAAAGGAAAUAAAGUACUUUUGAUGACAGCCUACUUAUUCAUUGUUUAUGUUCAAUAUGACAAGUUCAAAUAGCUACCUUAUGCAUGUAUUAGUGCUCUAACUGUUUAAAUAUCAUUUAGUUUAACUAGAAUGGAGAGAGUCUUAUCGAUCCUCUUAAGUAGUACUACAUCUGUUUCUAAAUUUUGAACAGUCAAAAUAUCUUAUAUUUAGGAGCAGAGGGUGUAAGAUCUAAAAAAAAU
RNAcentral lists this long non-coding RNA (1646 nucleotides) under Hordeum vulgare. RNAcentral's name for it is "long non-coding RNA (HVUL_LNC019388)". The stretch from base 246 to 337 matches the Rfam family "mir-160 microRNA precursor family". Lineage: Eukaryota; Viridiplantae; Streptophyta; Magnoliopsida; Poales; Poaceae. The record is from RNAcentral.